UGCCCAGGUGGCGGAAUUGGUAGACGCACUAUCUUGAGGGGGUAGCGCCGAGAGGCGUUCGGGUUCGAGUCCCGACCUGGGCACCAG
This 87-nucleotide transfer RNA is filed under the name Burkholderia multivorans CGD1. RNAcentral's name for it is "tRNA-Leu". It matches the Rfam family "tRNA". Rfam says of the family: Transfer RNA (tRNA) molecules are approximately 80 nucleotides in length. Their secondary structure includes four short double-helical elements and three loops (D, anti-codon, and T loops). Further hydrogen bonds mediate the characteristic L-shaped molecular structure. tRNAs have two regions of fundamental functional importance: the anti-codon, which is responsible for specific mRNA codon recognition, and the 3' end, to which the tRNAs corresponding amino acid is attached (by aminoacyl-tRNA synthetases). tRNAs cope with the degeneracy of the genetic code in two manners: having more than one tRNA (with a specific anti-codon) for a particular amino acid; and 'wobble' base-pairing, i.e. permitting non-standard base-pairing at the 3rd anti-codon position. RNAcentral also lists the same sequence under 2 other names. The record is from RNAcentral. Lineage: Bacteria; Pseudomonadati; Pseudomonadota; Betaproteobacteria; Burkholderiales; Burkholderiaceae.